CAUCCCCAUGAAGAAUGUUUAACUUAUUAAAAGUAGUGGACUGAUUUUCAUUGAUGAUUCAACAAUUCUGAGGGAUG
Molecule: small nucleolar RNA, 77 nt
Organism: Cornus florida
Lineage: Eukaryota; Viridiplantae; Streptophyta; Magnoliopsida; Cornales; Cornaceae
Product: small nucleolar RNA R21
Exons: 1
Source: RefSeq, a predicted model, not a curated record